Molecule: long non-coding RNA, 1257 nt
Organism: Stegostoma tigrinum
Lineage: Eukaryota; Metazoa; Chordata; Chondrichthyes; Orectolobiformes; Stegostomatidae
Exons: 7
Source: RefSeq, a predicted model, not a curated record
CUACCGACUAACCUCAUCCCACCUCCUUGACCUGUCCGUCUCCCCUGGACUGACCUAUCCCCUCCCCACCUAUACUCUCUCCACCUAUCUUCUUUACUCUCCAUCUUCGUUCCGCCUCCCCAUCCCUGUUUAUUCCAGUUCCCUCUCCCCACCCCCCUCUCUGAUGAAGGGUCUUGGCCCGCAACGUCAGCUUUUGUGCUCCUCAGAUGCUGCUUGGCCUGCUGUGCUCAUCCAGCCUCACAUUUUAUUAUGUUGGGAGAGAGAGCUGUUUUGGUUUGUGAUACAAGAGACGAGGCUGUCUCUGCCUUUCACCCAUCGGUAGUUCUCCUCCUGUCCCUGCCUCUAUGCACACACACUGCCAGGCAUAGUCUUCCUCCCUCUGUGUGUGUGUGUGUCUCUCUCUCUCGCUUCAGCUCCUAAAACGUAAGAUGCAUCGGAUAUAAAAACACGCACAUAAACACACACACACACACAUACAUCAACAAGCCAUGGGGAAAGAUCAGGAAUUACUGCAAGCUGUCAAAACCGAAGAUGUAGCUGCAGUGCAGAAGCUGUUGCAAAGGCCGAAACAACGCAAAGCGAUUUCCACUUGGAAGAAAGAUUCACAUCAAAUUGACUGGUCAAGGAAAUGGGACACUGACUGGUGGAGUUAGUGGAACCGAAAAAGAUGUCUCCCUCACAGCGUUCGUGACAAAAGAAUUGCAUCGUUCCUUGGCGGCCUUUCAACAGAAGAAUAUUCAGAGAUUUCCCGAGUGGACACAAUCAUCGCCUUGGAAGCUUCAUCACGAUACUACUUUGCAUUUCUGAAGAGGGAAGAAGAAAUCAAUAUGCAAAUUCAAUUCCAUGGUUUUGGAAGUCCCAUGUGAGAACACGAUUCAUUUGCGCCGGCAUAAUGCUCUGACCGAGAAAGAAUUGAAGUUUCCACUUGGAAGAAAGAUUCACAUCAAAUUGACUGGUCAAGGAAAUGGGACACUGACUAACCUUACGAUGAGACUGUUUUGAUGAGGAAUUUAAAGAUUAUGUGUCCCAUCCAUUUGACGCACAGUUUGGUACCAUAGGUUGGUACGAUCUUCGUUCAUGAAGGAAAAGGGAUGUUCCAGAUACAGAAAAUCGUCAAACCAUUUAUGACAAAGUCCGUUUCUGGGUGGAGUUAGUGGAACCGACAAAGAUGUCUCCCUCACAGCGUUUGUGACAAAAGAAUUGCAUCGUUCCUUGGCGGCCUUUCAACAGAAGAACAUUCAGAGAUUUCACGAGCGG